GAUGAACGCUGGCGGCGUGCCUAAUACAUGCAAGUCGAGCGAACGGACGAGAAGCUUGCGGCGCUGAUGUUAGCGGCGGGCGGGUGAGUAACACGUGUAUAACCUACCUAUAAGACGGGUAUCACUUGGGGAAACCGGCUCUUAUACCGUAGAAGAUCUUGAAGCGCGGGGGGGAAAGGUGAGAUACGGUCGUGCGGGCAGUUAUAGAUGGAUCCGCGCUUCAUUGGCUAGUUGGUAAGGUAACGGCUUACCAAGGCAACGAGGCAUAACCGAACUGAUGGGGGGAUCGGCCGCACUGGAACGUGGACACCGUCCAGACUCCUACGGUAGGCCGCAGUAGGCAACCGUCCGCAAUGGGCGAAAGCCUGACGGAGCAGCGCCGCGUGAGUGAUGGAGGUCUUCCGAUCGUGAUACUCUGUUAUUAGUGAAGAACCUCUGUCUACGUAACUGUGCCCUUCUUGACGGUACCGAAUAAGAAAGCACCGGCUAACUACGUG
This 497-nucleotide ribosomal RNA is filed under the name uncultured bacterium. Its description in RNAcentral is "partial 16S ribosomal RNA". It matches the Rfam family "Bacterial small subunit ribosomal RNA", at positions 28 to 507 of the family's 1533-position model. The record is from RNAcentral.